UGAGUAACCUGCCCUUAACUCUGGGAUAAGCCUGGGAAACUGGGUCUAAUACCGGAUAUGACUCCUCAUCGCAUGGGUGGGGGGUGGAAAGCUUUAUUGUGGUUUUGGAUGAGCUCGCGGCCUAUCAGCUAGUUGGUGUGGGUAACGGCCCACCAAGGCGACGACGGGUAGCCGGCCUGAGAGGGUGACCGGCCACACUGGGACUGAGACACGGCCCAGACUCCUACGGGAGGCGG
Molecule: ribosomal RNA, 236 nt
Filed under: uncultured bacterium
Lineage: Bacteria
Description: partial 16S ribosomal RNA
Rfam family: Bacterial small subunit ribosomal RNA
Source: RNAcentral